GAUGAACGCUGGCGGCGUGCCUAAUACAUGCAAGUCGAGCGAACGGACGAGAAGCUUGCUUCUCUGAUGUUAGCGGCGGACGGGUGAGUAACACGUGGAUAACCUACCUAUAAGACUGGGAUAACUUCGGGAAACCGGAGCUAAUACCGGAUAAUAUUUUGAACCGCAUGGUUCAAAAGUGAAAGACGGUCUUGCUGUCACUUAUAGAUGGAUCCGCGCUGCAUUAGCUAGUUGGUAAGGUAACGGCUUACCAAGGCAACGAUGCAUAGCCGAACUGAGAGGGUGAUCGGCCACACUGGAGCUGAGACACGGUCCAGACUCCUAAGGGAGGCAGCAGUAGGGAAUGUGCCGCAAUGGGCGAAAGCCUGACGGAGCAACGCCGCGUGAGUGAUGAAGGUCUUCGGAUCGUAAAACUCUGUUAUUAGGGAAGAACAUAUGUGUAAUUAACUGUGCACAUCUUGACGGUACCUAAUCAGAAAGCCACGGCUAACUACGUG
This 497-nucleotide ribosomal RNA is filed under the name uncultured bacterium. RNAcentral's name for it is "partial 16S ribosomal RNA". It matches the Rfam family "Bacterial small subunit ribosomal RNA", at positions 28 to 507 of the family's 1533-position model. The record is from RNAcentral.